This 190-nucleotide long non-coding RNA is filed under the name Anas platyrhynchos platyrhynchos (common mallard). RNAcentral's name for it is "lncRNA (ENSAPLG00000030553.1)". The record is from RNAcentral. Lineage: Eukaryota; Metazoa; Chordata; Aves; Anseriformes; Anatidae.
ACGAGUAGUGCGAAAGCUGUUUUUCUCAUUGGAAUAUUCUUUGUUAUCCAGAAAAUGCCAUUUGAAAAUGAGUUUCUCUGAUCUUUCAUCUUACUGGGACAUGACCGAGCUAUGAAAAGUGAACUUCAAGAUCUUUGGGAUAUGAGCAUUUGAAGUUGUUUUGUACAAAGACUUUUGAAGGAACCAGUGU